Molecule: ribosomal RNA, 209 nt
Filed under: uncultured bacterium
Lineage: Bacteria
Description: partial 16S ribosomal RNA
Rfam family: Bacterial small subunit ribosomal RNA
Source: RNAcentral
GGAUUGUAGUCUGCAACCCGACUACAUGAAGCUGGAAUCGCUAGUAAUCGCGGAUCAGAAUGCCGCGGUGAAUACGUUCCCGGGUCUUGUACACACCGCCCGUCACACCAUGGGAGGUCGGAAAUGCCCGAAGUCUGUGACCCAACCUUAGGGAGGGGAGCAGCCGAAGGCAGGUCGGAUGACUGGGGGUGAAGUCGUAACAAGGUAAC